CGCCGCCCCCGACGUCGCGAGAAGUCCAUUGACCUUAUCAUUUAGAGGAAGGAGAAGUCGUAACAAGGUUUCCGUAGGUGAACCUGCGGAAGGAUCAUU
RNAcentral lists this ribosomal RNA (99 nucleotides) under Poa autumnalis. RNAcentral describes it as "partial 18S ribosomal RNA". It matches the Rfam family "Eukaryotic small subunit ribosomal RNA", at positions 1731 to 1830 of the family's 1831-position model. The record is from RNAcentral. Lineage: Eukaryota; Viridiplantae; Streptophyta; Magnoliopsida; Poales; Poaceae.